GACGAACGCUGGCGGCGUGCUUAACACAUGCAAGUCGAGCGGUAAGGCCCUUUCGGGGGUACACGAGCGGCGAACGGGUGAGUAACACGUGGGUGACCUGCCCUCAGCUCUGGGAUAAGCCUGGGAAACCGGGUCUAAUACCGGAUAUGACUCCAUGACGCAUGUUGUGGGGUGGAAAGCCUUGUGCGGCUGAGGAUGGGCCCGCGGCCUAUCAGCUUGUUGGUGGGGUGAUGGCCUACCAAGGCGACGACGGGUAGCCGGCCUGAGAGGGCGACCGGCCACACUGGGACUGAGACACGGCCCAGACUCCUACGGGAGGCAGCAGUGGGGAAUCUUGCGCAAUGGGCGAAAGCCUGACGCAGCGACGCCGCGUGGGGAUGAAGCUUCUCGGAGUGUAAACCCCUUUCGACCCGGACGAAUAGCCCGCAAGGGACUUGACGGUACGGGUAGAA
This 452-nucleotide ribosomal RNA is filed under the name uncultured bacterium. RNAcentral describes it as "bacterial SSU rRNA". It matches the Rfam family "Bacterial small subunit ribosomal RNA", at positions 28 to 486 of the family's 1533-position model. The record is from RNAcentral.